UACGAGGGGGGCGAGCGUUGUUCGGAAUUAUUGGGCGUAAAGGGUGCGUAGGCGGCCUGACAAGUCUGAUGUGAAAUCCCUGGGCUCAACCCAGGGCCUGCAUCGGAAACUGUCGGGCUUGAGUAUGGGAGAGGUGAGUGGAAUUUCCGGUGUAGCGGUGAAAUGCGUAGAUAUCGGAAGGAACACCUGUGGCGAAAGCGGCUCACUGGACCAUUACUGACGCUGAGGCACGAAAGCUAGGGGAGCAAAC
This 250-nucleotide ribosomal RNA is filed under the name uncultured bacterium. RNAcentral's name for it is "partial 16S ribosomal RNA". It matches the Rfam family "Bacterial small subunit ribosomal RNA", at positions 524 to 773 of the family's 1533-position model. The record is from RNAcentral.